CCCACUCUAAUUCAGACAAAACUAAACCUAAAUCCCUAAUUUUGGCGCACUCUGACAGCCACCACGCAGUCACCAUGCCGGUGCCGCCACGGCUCCUCCACACGACUCGCAGUCUCCCUCGCACUCCCCAACAAAUAAAUAACUUCAUAAACUCAUCUCAAUUUGCUGGUUGAAACAUAGAAAACAAGUCAAGCAUAGCAGGAACAACAAGCAGGCACGCCUUAUAUUCUCUACAUAAAUAGCUUUUUCAAUAAAACAAACCUUCUGUUGAGUUUCUAUUGUGACGCCCAUUUGCUCAAUUUGAUCUGACAUAGCCUAAACAGAAGAAAAACAUGCAUCAAUUAAAGGCCUUGAAAAAGUGAUUUUAACAACCAGAUCAUGUCUCCAGCGUGAUCUUUUCUUAUUCAAUGUUUUUAUAAAAAAGAAAUAUAUAUGGAUUGCUGAACUGGAAAUAUAUAUUUUGAAUAUAUGUUACUUAUUUAAUUGUUACUGAAUUGGAAAUAUAUAUUUUGAAUUGAUUUAAGCUUUGUAUUAUGAAAUAUGGAUUACUAUGAUGAUUCCAUAAAUGAUAAUGUUGAUAUGGUGGAUGAAAUAAACAAUGAAGAAAAUGAAAUUAUUUUGACAGAUUGCCUAAUGAGGGGUAGGGGAGUUACAUCUUCUUUAUGGAAUUAUUUUGACAGAUUGCCUAAUGAUAGAGCUCUAUGCAGGGGUUAUAAGAAAGAUUUAGCAGGGGGUGGGAAGAAAAUUGGAACUUUGAGUUUAAUACGUCACUUAAAUAUUUGUAGGAAGACGACAAAGACUUUUGAAGAAAGUGAUGUCGGUAAGCUUGUGGUUGAUCAUGCUGGAAAAUUAAGAGCUUGAAAAGUUGAUCAAAAAGUAGUGAAUGAUUUUAUAUGCAUGAUGAUCAUACAACAUGACCUUUCUUUCUCUUUUGUUGAAUAUAGGAGGUUUAGAGAAUUGAUAAAAUACUUGUGUCUGGAUGCUAAGGUACCUUCUAGGCGUGCUUGCACUAUAUAUAUUAAUAAUAUGUAUGAAGAGCAAAAAAUCAUAUUGAAAAGUGUGUUGUCCAAAGUCCCUAGUAGGAUAUCCUUGACAUCUGAUUUGUGGACUUCUUUUGCCACAGAGGGUUAUAUUUAUUUAACUGCACAUUAUGUUGAUGAAAAUUGGAAGCUUCAAAGCAAAAUUCUUAAUUUUUGUCAUCUCCCUCCUCCACACUUUGGGGCUGAAAUGGCUAAGGCCAUAUAUGAAUUUUUGGAAGAUUGGGAGAUUGAGCAAAAUUUUUUUCCUUAACUUUGGAUAAUGCAUCCUCAAAUGAAACACACUCAAGGCUGUUGAAAGAUAGACUUUUAAAUAGCAAUAAUGGUUUGUUAUGUGGUGGGAAAUAUUUUCAUGUCCGAUGUUGUUGUGCUCACAUUUUAAACCUUAUUAUUCAGGAAGGUUUGAAGUUUGCUAAGAAUGCUUUAACAAAAUUUAGAGAAAGCAUAAAGUAUGUUAAAGGGUCAGAGGGAAAAAUGAAUGCCUUCAAAGCUUGUGUUGUUAAAGUGGGCAGUGUUGAUACAAAGGUUGGUUUGUGUUUGGGUGUUCCUACUAGGUGGAACUCCACAUUUGUGAUGCUUCAAAGUGUACUUGCAUACCGAUGUGUUUUUAAUACUCUUGCUAUUGAAGAUGCAAAUUAUGUGACUUGUCCUACAGCUGAAGAAUGAGUAAGAGCUGAAAAGAUAUGUGAAUUUUUGAAGCCAUUUUUUCAUAUCACUGAGUUGAUGUAUGGUUCUUCCUAUCCAACAUCUAAUUUGUUUUUUUUCACAAGUGUGGCAAAUUGAAUGUUGGUUGGAAAAACAUACUAGGCAUGAAGAUUAGAAGAUUAGGGAAAUGGUAGAUAAAAUGAAAGACAAGUUUGAUAAAUAUUGGAAUGAUUAUAGUGAUGUGCUUGCUCUUGGGACCAUUCUUGAUCCUUGUUAUAAGAUGUCAUUUUUGAAGUUCUGUUAUACAAAACUUGGUCUUAGUGAAGUAUCUUGCCAAGCAAAAAUGAAAGUCUUGAAGCACAAGUUGCAUUCUCUUUCAAGAGUAUGUCAAGAAUUCUAAGAAAGAGAGAACUACAAGAGGGCAACAAGAAUCUCAAGCUCAUCCUUCCUUGGCCAAAGGAAAGUCAACAUCACAAGUUGCAUUUAUUGAUGUAAGCCUAUAUUUUUUUUACCUAAACUUAAUGGCUCAUUUACUUCAUUACUUGUGUUAUUUCUUUAAUAUUUAAUUUUUCAUUUUGUGUAACUAAUGUAGAAGUUCAUCCACUUUGAGAAUGAUAACGUAUCACAACAUGGUUUCACAGGACGAACUCAGCUGCAUGCCCAGCUCUACCUGUAGCCGACUUACCCAAAUGGGCUGAUCAUGCUAGAAUUGACAUCCCUAAGUAGGCGAUGACCGAUGAUCAACACAUUGAACUCAUUGAACCUGUCUACGUUCGUAACUUUGUAUUAUUUUUUUCUUUUUGGUAUGGGAUGUUUGUACGAUGAUAGCGAUCAGAACUAAUAUUAUUAAUGUUUUAAAUAUUUAUUUAAAUCAAAAGCAUCAUAAUUUGUUAAGAUUGAGCAUGAAUUUUUUUUCACGUUGUAAAAUGAAACGAUCAACUUACUUUAUUCUUGUAAAGCUUAUAAAUUAUUCUAAAAUUUUUAA
Molecule: long non-coding RNA, 2667 nt
Organism: Glycine soja
Lineage: Eukaryota; Viridiplantae; Streptophyta; Magnoliopsida; Fabales; Fabaceae
Exons: 3
Source: RefSeq, a predicted model, not a curated record